Helianthus annuus (common sunflower) is the source of this 472-nucleotide long non-coding RNA. RefSeq lists it as uncharacterized. NCBI's taxonomy places the organism in Eukaryota, Viridiplantae, Streptophyta, Magnoliopsida, Asterales, Asteraceae. The transcript has 3 exons. The record is from RefSeq and is a predicted model, not a curated record.
UGUGGAUCGACCAAGAACAAGAAAAACAAGGGCUCACCCUUGUUCUCACCAAAUUCACCAAAUUGACAAGGGAGAAUUGAUGAUUAUCAGUUGCAUGUGGUAGAAUUUCGAUCAUUUACCCAUACCCAAUCAAUUGGUGUGAAGGAAGAAGGUUCGAAUUCUAAGAAGCCGGAAGGAUCACAAGACCGAGGAAAAUCCUCGACUUAGGCGAUGGGACGGCUCGGAACGUGCACACUUGGAUUACGCCCGCCUCACGCUUCCGUUAUUAAGUCUUUUAAAAUGGGUUAAGUUUUGGUCAUAUGUAACUAGGUCUAUGUAGUAUGUUGAUAACUUCGAAGUUGGGUAAAAACUUGGUAGUCGAAGUCUUGUCGUGUCCAAUAUAGACUUUGUUUGUUUUGGGUUUUUGUCAUGGAUGUUAAGCAUCAAAGUUUGGUAUGUAUAACAGGGUGUUAAUGGUUUAAAACGAAUAAGU